CAACAGAAAGCAGCAGGACGAGCAUGUUCUCUGGUUUUAAAUAGCUCUGGUGAAAGUAUUUAUCAUGCUGUUUUCAUUGCAGCAUUGCUGGGGCGUUUGUGCUGGCUGAGGGUGGAAGGACUGAUCUUGGAAGGAAACUCCAUGUGAAAUCCCCAGCCUGCUCUGCAGACACAUGUGCUGGGCUAUUUCUGGACCAGCUUUCAGCUGCCACAGGGGAGCUGGAAGAAGUGGGGAGAGCCCAGAAAUCCUGCCUGAGCUGUCUCAGAAGGACUGGACUAGCCUGAAGGCCACCAAAGCCACAGCCCAGCAGCAUGGUUUGGCACACAGACAUCCCACACCCAGCAUCCAGCAGUGCUGGGGGGUAGAUCCAGUGUCACCAGGAAAGCCGUGACCUCAACAAGCCACGCAGGCUCCUUCCUGUGCAGUAAGUAAUGCCCCUAAGAAAGAGAAGUUUUCCGAGGGUCCUCAGAGGCUGGAGCAAAGU
This 484-nucleotide long non-coding RNA is filed under the name Cairina moschata (Muscovy duck). RNAcentral describes it as "domestica (muscovy Duck (domestic type)) lncRNA (ENSCMMG00000017578.1)". Lineage: Eukaryota; Metazoa; Chordata; Aves; Anseriformes; Anatidae. The record is from RNAcentral.